GGAUGUGAAGGCCACCCAGCCAUGACGUCUCUCACCCCAUUGACUUCCAGGCUUGAUUUGGACUAUCUGGCUGGCUUGGCUGUCCAGGCAAGCAUCCCCUUCCUCCCUCACUACUCUGUGUGCAUCCCUCCUGAAACGUGCCCUCAGCCUAAGAGAAUGACCUUCCCACACAGAGGAGAACUGUCCUUCAAUCAAGGGUGUGUGAGUAUUUGCACCCCUCUGCUAGAACCUCCAAACGGUCUCAGAAACAGAAGGAGGGCUGGAGAGAUGGCUCAGUGGCUAAGAACAUUUGUGCACAAUCAUUAGGACCAAGUACAGGACCUAGU
Molecule: small nuclear RNA, 326 nt
Filed under: Meriones unguiculatus (Mongolian gerbil)
Lineage: Eukaryota; Metazoa; Chordata; Mammalia; Rodentia; Muridae
Description: 7SK RNA (ENSMUGG00000008356.1)
Rfam family: 7SK RNA
About the family: 7SK was discovered as an abundant small nuclear RNA in the mid-70s but a possible function has only recently been suggested. Two independent studies have found that 7SK RNA binds the CDK9/cyclin T complex (known as elongation factor P-TEFb).
Source: RNAcentral